AUCGGCAUUGCUGAUGAGCGCUGGAAGAUUUCUGCCGCUCGCAAUCGCCACAAUCGCUUCAUGCUUUUGACCACGGAUGUACUGGCACUGGUAGACAAGCGAUUAUGAGGAAGGUCGGUGCGGUUUCGCCCCGGCCUUUUUUGUU
Shinella sp. HZN7 is the source of this 145-nucleotide non-coding RNA. Lineage: Bacteria; Pseudomonadati; Pseudomonadota; Alphaproteobacteria; Hyphomicrobiales; Rhizobiaceae. The record is from Rfam.